This 427-nucleotide ribosomal RNA is filed under the name uncultured bacterium. Its description in RNAcentral is "partial 16S ribosomal RNA". It matches the Rfam family "Bacterial small subunit ribosomal RNA", at positions 355 to 774 of the family's 1533-position model. The record is from RNAcentral.
UAGGGAAUCUUCGGCAAUGGACGAAAGUCUGACCGAGCAACGCCGCGUGAGUGAAGAAGGUUUUCGGAUCGUAAAACUCUGUUGGUAGAGAAGAACGUUGGUGAGAGUGGAAAGCUCAUCAAGUGACGGUAACUACCCAGAAAGGGACGGCUAACUACGUGCCAGCAGCCGCGGUAAUACGUAGGUCCCGAGCGUUGUCCGGCUUUAUUGGGCGUAAAGCGAGCGCAGGUGGUUUAUUAAGUCUGGUGUAAAAGGCAGUGGCUCAACCAUUGUAUGCAUUGGAAACUUGUAGACUUGAGUGCAGGAGAGGAGAGUGGAAUUCCAUGUGUAGCGGUGAAAUGCGUAGAUAUAUGGAGGAACACCGGUGGCGAAAGCGGCUCUCUGGCCUGUAACUGACACUGAGGCUCGAAAGCGUGGGGAGCAAACA